AUGGCGAGACCGCUCUUCCUGCUCGCCCUCCUGGCCACGGCUCUCGCAGCCACCUCAACCCUCGGCCGCCGCGGCGGGCUCCUGGGCGGGUGGAGCCCCGUCCCGGACGUGAACGACGCGCACGUCCAGGAGCUCGGCGGGUGGGCGGUGGCCCAGCACCCCAGCCUAGCCAACGACGGGCUGCUCUUCCGCCGGGUGACGCGCGGCGAGCAGCAGGUGGUGUCCGGGAUGAACUACCGCCUCUUGGUGGUCGCGGCGGACGGCUCCGGCAAGAGCGUGAUCUAUCUCGCGCAGAUCUACGAGCACUGGAGCGGCACCCGCAAACUCACGUCCUUCAAGCCGGCUGCCGGCGGCUAA
Molecule: ribosomal RNA, 357 nt
Filed under: Triticum aestivum (bread wheat)
Lineage: Eukaryota; Viridiplantae; Streptophyta; Magnoliopsida; Poales; Poaceae
Description: partial small subunit ribosomal RNA
Source: RNAcentral